CAGGCUCAAAACAUAAUUUUACAUGAAGUCGAUAAAUCAGACACAGUAACAGGACUACAGCAGAAAACACAUUAUGGCCGACCAAACUGAGACAAAAUAUUUGAAAAUAUUUCUAAAGACCAUGCUGGGAUAAGUGUUGGUGUAUUCUUCUGUGGACCAAGUGGAUUAUCAAAUACUCUUCACCAAGCCAGCAACAAACAUUCCGCUGUGGAUAAAACUGGGGCAAAGUUCUUCUAUAAUAAAGAAAACUUUUAAUUUCUACUCAACAAGUGAUAUUAUACUUUACAUGCAUUUUCAAAUAAAAAACAAAUUACUGGG
Long non-coding RNA from Mytilus trossulus (common blue mussel), 318 nucleotides. RefSeq lists it as uncharacterized. The record is from RefSeq and is a predicted model, not a curated record. The transcript has 2 exons. Lineage: Eukaryota; Metazoa; Mollusca; Bivalvia; Mytilida; Mytilidae.